RNAcentral lists this ribosomal RNA (378 nucleotides) under uncultured bacterium. RNAcentral's name for it is "bacterial SSU rRNA". It matches the Rfam family "Bacterial small subunit ribosomal RNA", at positions 790 to 1167 of the family's 1533-position model. The record is from RNAcentral.
GUAGUCCUUGCCGUAAACUAUGUAUACUUGGUGUAACCGGACUCAACCCUGGUUGUGCCGUAGCAAACGCGAUAAGUAUACCGCCUGGGGAGUACGCUCGCAAGGGUGAAACUCAAAAGAAUUGACGGGGACCCGCACAAGCAGUGGAGCAUGUGGUUUAAUUCGAUGCAACGCGAAGAACCUUACCCAGACUUGACAUGCACUAGACCGUUCCAGAAAUGGAAUUUCCCUUCGGGGCUGGUGCACAGGUGCUGCAUGGCUGUCGUCAGCUCGUGCCGUGAGGUGUUGGGUUAAGUCCCGCAACGAGCGCAACCCUUAUCAUUAGUUGCCAACACGUAAAGGUGGGAACUCUAAUGAGACUGCCCGGGUUAACCGGGA